This 1237-nucleotide ribosomal RNA is filed under the name Klebsiella pneumoniae. Its description in RNAcentral is "bacterial LSU rRNA". It matches the Rfam family "Bacterial large subunit ribosomal RNA", at positions 1712 to 2925 of the family's 2925-position model. Lineage: Bacteria; Pseudomonadati; Pseudomonadota; Gammaproteobacteria; Enterobacterales; Enterobacteriaceae. The record is from RNAcentral.
ACUAGGCAAAAUGGUGCCGUAACUUCGGGAGAAGGCACGCUGGUGUGUAGGUGAAGUCCCUGCGGAUGGAGCUGAGACCAGUCGAAGAUACCAGCUGGCUGCAACUGUUUAUUAAAAACACAGCACUGUGCAAACACGAAAGUGGACGUAUACGGUGUGACGCCUGCCCGGUGCCGGAAGGUUAAUUGAUGGGGUUAUCCGUAAGGAGAAGCUCUUGAUCGAAGCCCCGGUAAACGGCGGCCGUAACUAUAACGGUCCUAAGGUAGCGAAAUUCCUUGUCGGGUAAGUUCCGACCUGCACGAAUGGCGUAAUGAUGGCCAGGCUGUCUCCACCCGAGACUCAGUGAAAUUGAACUCGCUGUGAAGAUGCAGUGUACCCGCGGCAAGACGGAAAGACCCCGUGAACCUUUACUAUAGCUUGACACUGAACAUUGAGCCUUGAUGUGUAGGAUAGGUGGGAGGCUUUGAAGCGUGGACGCCAGUCUGCGUGGAGCCAACCUUGAAAUACCACCCUUUAAUGUUUGAUGUUCUAACGUUGGCCCCUGACCGGGGUUGCGGACAGUGUCUGGUGGGUAGUUUGACUGGGGCGGUCUCCUCCCAAAGCGUAACGGAGGAGCACGAAGGUUAGCUAAUCCUGGUCGGACAUCAGGAGGUUAGUGCAAUGGCAUAAGCUAGCUUGACUGCGAGCGUGACGGCGCGAGCAGGUGCGAAAGCAGGUCAUAGUGAUCCGGUGGUUCUGAAUGGAAGGGCCAUCGCUCAACGGAUAAAAGGUACUCCGGGGAUAACAGGCUGAUACCGCCCAAGAGUUCAUAUCGACGGCGGUGUUUGGCACCUCGAUGUCGGCUCAUCACAUCCUGGGGCUGAAGUAGGUCCCAAGGGUAUGGCUGUUCGCCAUUUAAAGUGGUACGCGAGCUGGGUUUAGAACGUCGUGAGACAGUUCGGUCCCUAUCUGCCGUGGGCGCUGGAGAAUUGAGGGGGGCUGCUCCUAGUACGAGAGGACCGGAGUGGACGCAUCACUGGUGUUCGGGUUGUCAUGCCAAUGGCACUGCCCGGUAGCUAAAUGCGGAAGAGAUAAGUGCUGAAAGCAUCUAAGCACGAAACUUGCCCCGAGAUGAGUUCUCCCUGAGACUUUAAGUCUCCUGAAGGAACGUUGAAGACGACGACGUUGAUAGGCCGGGUGUGUAAGCGCAGCGAUGCGUUGAGCUAACCGGUACUAAUGAACCGUGAGGCUUAACCUU